UACGAAGGACCCGAGCGUUAUCCGGAUUUAUUGGGUUUAAAGGGUGCGUAGGCGUCCCUAUAAGUUACGGUUGAAAUCUCCUCGCUCAACGAGGAAACUGGCCGUAAAACUGUAGGGAUUGAGUACACUUGAAGCGGGCGGAAUGUGUCAUGUAGCGGUGAAAUGCUUAGAUAUGACACAGAACACCGAUUGCGAAGGCAGCUCGCUAAAUUGUAACUGACGCUGAGGCACGAAAGCGUGGGGAUAAAACAGG
Molecule: ribosomal RNA, 253 nt
Filed under: uncultured bacterium
Lineage: Bacteria
Description: partial 16S ribosomal RNA
Rfam family: Bacterial small subunit ribosomal RNA
Source: RNAcentral